This 99-nucleotide ribosomal RNA is filed under the name uncultured bacterium. Its description in RNAcentral is "partial 16S ribosomal RNA". It matches the Rfam family "Bacterial small subunit ribosomal RNA", at positions 392 to 508 of the family's 1533-position model. The record is from RNAcentral.
CAACGCCGCGUGGGUGACGAAGGCCUUCGGGUUGUAAAGCCCUUUUCUGAGGGAAGAUGAUGACGGUACCUCAGGAAGAAGCACCGGCUAACUACGUGC